Molecule: long non-coding RNA, 2570 nt
Filed under: Orbicella faveolata
Lineage: Eukaryota; Metazoa; Cnidaria; Anthozoa; Scleractinia; Merulinidae
Description: uncharacterized LOC110043342
Source: RNAcentral
UAUUUUCUACAUGUAGCUGUAAAUAUAUUGUAGAAUGGGAAGAGAAAAAGUUCUGGAUGUUUGAGGGUAUUGUGCUUAUCAUGUUAAUAUGUUCCUCCUCAAUGGUAUGGUACAGACAAAGACAGCUUGACAGCGUGUUCUACCAGAAACUUCAAAAACAAGUGGAGAGCGACACUAUAUAGUAGUACGUGAAUAUAUUACAACAACAAUGAAAUGCAAGUUCACAGUCCGAGCCAAGCCAUAUUCCUGUACAGUACUGAACAAUGUAUAUUUUUAUUUAUUUGAUUUGGAGGAAUAUGCUGGGUAUGAUUUGUAACUAUAGUUUUAAAGGAAAACAAGUGAAAGGAAGUCACUGGCUCAAGAAUGGCACAAGAAUAUGUUUUAAAGGAAAUCAUUGCCCGUGGAGAUUGUAUUUUGACAGGCCACUGUUUCCAUGCAGAUUAUACAUGGCUCCAAAGCAGAAUUGUGUGUCCCAAUUUGGAGACAUUUUUAUGAUUGACUCAUGCAGAUAAUUUGUAAUGUUAUGGACAGUGGCCCUUUUCACAGUUAGCUUUUGGCAUGUGCAUUGCAUCCCUCACAGGGAUGUGAGGCAAUUUCAGGAAGAAACUACCAAAUUGCCUUGACUUGCCUUGCGUGCACACUGGAGUGUAAUGCAAAUGAGAAGGUUAAGCAUGAAAAGGGUUACUUACAGCCCAUGUUUUCCAGCAAUGAGUAAUUUACAUGUAAAAACCAAGUACUGUUAAUCUAGAUGAAAACUCAGGUUUCACCUCUUUCCUUUUUGAAGUGGUUUUACCUCGAAAAUAUUUUAAGGUGAUUGGCUCUGCUAUACUACAGUACAUGCAACAUUUUUAUUUGGUAGUAUAGUUGAUCUUCCCCCUUAAAAGUAGUCUUCUUUACAGCUGUUAUUAGGGUUGUCACACAACGCCUUUCCCCACUUUGUGUGACAACCCUAAUAACGGCUGUGAAGAAGACUACCUUAAAAGCAGCCAUUUCAUUUUUAUUUAGUACAUGUACUUUCACAUGUAUUUCUCACACAGUAAAGUUUUACUUGUCACAACUGGGAUGUUUAAGUUUAUGUUUUCUUUAUUUCCUACAUACUUCUAUGUGUAUGUGUAUUGAUUGACUUCAAUAGCCUGAUUUUCGAGUUGUCCCUCCAUCUGAGCUCAAUUUUUCCCCUUCAAGAGAUGUCAGAGAGUUCCCCUUAGAAUUUAAUCCAUAACUGCUUUUCAUGAUCUUUAGUGUCCUACAGAGACACAUAGUCUUUAAAUAAUAGCUUCUAGGCUGUUUUUGAGAAAUUCGUAACUCAGCUUUGACCAGGCAGAGGCACUAUAUUGAAUUUGCUCAAACAUAAUCAUCAUCAUCAUAAUCAUUGUCACCACUAUCAUCGCCACAUCUUGCAGGGAAGAACUGAGCUUCCGAGUAGAGAUUUUUCAGAGCUAUCCAUUCCAAUAACAGAAUGGUUUUAUAAGAAAAAGUACAACAAGUGAUGCAUACAAAGUCAUGUGCAUAGGCAUUAUAGUUGCCAUUUAUUUACUAAUAUAUAUCUAAAACAAAACAAUGUUGUAAUAAAGAGAGUAAUAAAAUGGACUUACAGUAUGGUAAAUAAAGAGAAAUUGGUUCUCAACUAACCACUUCACAUUGUUUUCAUUUUUGCUAGAAUAUAAUGUGUUAUGCACAGUGAAUCUCAUUAUGUACCUUAUAUUUUCAACAAUAUAAUUCCCAAGCCUGUAAAUAGAAGCCAGUCAUCAGAUGAUAAUAAUAUAAUUAGCAUUGACCAGUGAAAUUUUAGUUUGGCCUGACAGAUUUACCUCAAGCAAUCUGAAACAUUCAAUUUUGUAGGAAAUUAAAAAUAUAUAUAUACGUAUCUUAUGGUAUGUCUUAUGAGGUCAAGCAUUGAGAAUAUAAAGAGUCCAUUUCAUGCCUAGACAUCAGAACAGUAGAUGUAAAACUAGUGUACAUUGUAUAUACUAAUUAUGGUCAACCUGACAUGAAAUGGAAGUAGCUAAGACGUGUUUUCCUUCAUUCUGAGCAGAAAUGUGAUGCAUAGUAGCUCUUUCGGUCCCAGAUUUUUCUUGGACCAAUAUCAACUCUUUCUUAACAUUCUGACUUAUCCAGAACUCAAAUUAACAUGUUACAACACUGAAAAACAGACUAUCCCAUCCAUGAGAGCAUGUGCAACAGUCAUUAAUCCCACUGACUGGAGAAACACUGGCUCUGCACAAGAAUUGCUACUGUUGGAAAGUGUUUGAAGCGAGUACAAAGUAAAAAGAGGGUAAAUUACAAGUAUAUCCAAAAAGAUAGUUAAUUAUGUACUGGGUACUUGACUAAAGCAGCAAGGAACUUUAAUUGCAUGAGAAAUAACAGUUUCAGCAUAAGAGCAUACAAAAGAAUUCAUUUGAGUCUCAUGCUCAAUGCCUUAGACUUGAGAGCUCUGCAAUAAUAAUUUAAUUAGCAUUUUGACCACCAAAAGUUUAGUCUGAUCUGAAAAAUUUUGAUUAGCUCAAACAAUCUAUUUACCUGGAAAUUAAAACUAUAUAUUAUGGUACGUCUCAAGAUGCCAAGUGUUGACA